GCGGCGGACGGGUGAGUAACACGUGGGUAACCUGCCUGUAAGACUGGGAUAACUCCGGGAAACCGGAGCUAAUACCGGAUAGUUCCUUGAACCGCAUGGUUCAAGGAUGAAAGACGGUUUCGGCUGUCACUUACAGAUGGACCCGCGGCGCAUUAGCUAGUUGGUGAGGUAACGGCUCACCAAGGCGACGAUGCGUAGCCGACCUGAGAGGGUGAUCGGCCACACUGGGACUGAGACACGGCCCAGACUCCUACGGGAGGCAGCAGUAGGGAAUCUUCCGCAAUGGACGAAAGUCUGACGGAGCAACGCCGCGUGAGUGAUGAAGGUUUUCGGAUCGUAAAGCUCUGUUGUUAGGGAAGAACAAGUGCAAGAGUAACUGCUUGCACCUUGACGGUACCUAACCAGAAAGCCACGGCUAACUACGUGCCAGCAGCCGCGGUAAUACGUAGGUGGCAAGCGUUGUCCGGAAUUAUUGGGCGUAAAGGGCUCGCAGGCGGUUUCUUAAGUCUGAUGUGAAAGCCCCCGGCUCAACCGGGGAGGGUCAUUGGAAACUGGGAAACUUGAGUGCAGAAGAGGAGAGUGGAAUUCCACGUGUAGCGGUGAAAUGCGUAGAGAUGUGGAGGAACACCAGUGGC
RNAcentral lists this ribosomal RNA (635 nucleotides) under Bacillus pumilus. RNAcentral's name for it is "bacterial SSU rRNA". It matches the Rfam family "Bacterial small subunit ribosomal RNA", at positions 95 to 716 of the family's 1533-position model. Lineage: Bacteria; Bacillati; Bacillota; Bacilli; Caryophanales; Bacillaceae. The record is from RNAcentral.